RNAcentral lists this ribosomal RNA (459 nucleotides) under uncultured bacterium. RNAcentral describes it as "partial 16S ribosomal RNA". It matches the Rfam family "Bacterial small subunit ribosomal RNA", at positions 28 to 507 of the family's 1533-position model. The record is from RNAcentral.
GUUGAACGCUGGCGGCGCGCCUAACACAUGCAAGUCGAACGGCAACCCUCCUCGGAGGGCAGAGAGUGGCGAACGGCUGAGUAACACGUGGGGAACCUGCCCCCUCCUCCGGGAUAGCGGACCGAAAGGACGGGUAAUACCGCAUACCCCCGGGUUCCGAAUGGCAGCCCGGCUAAAGCAACGGAGGGGGGAGCUGGCUUCGAGGCCCAUCAGGUAGACGGCGGGGUGAGGGCGCUCCGUGCCGACCACGAGUAACCGUGUUAAGGGACCGACGGGCCCGAUCGGGACUGAGGCACGGCCCAGACACCUACGGGAAGCAGCAGAAGCGAAUCUUACGCAAGGGGGGGGACCCUAGCGCGGCGUCGCCGCGUGCGGGACGGAGGCCUUCAAGGCAUAGGCCGCUUUCAGCAGGGAGGAGUCAUGACGGUACCUGCAGAAGAAGCCCCGGCUAACUACGUG